This 434-nucleotide ribosomal RNA is filed under the name Mycolicibacterium hodleri. Its description in RNAcentral is "partial 23S ribosomal RNA". It matches the Rfam family "Bacterial large subunit ribosomal RNA", at positions 1303 to 1736 of the family's 2925-position model. The record is from RNAcentral. Lineage: Bacteria; Bacillati; Actinomycetota; Actinomycetes; Mycobacteriales; Mycobacteriaceae.
UGAUUAACGACAAUGGGUGUUUAAAACACCCACUACGAAAGACCAAGGUUUCCUGCGCAACGUUAAACGCCUCUGGGUUAGUCGGUCCCUAAGGCGAGGCCGAAAGGCGUAGUCGAUGGGAAACAGGUUAAUAUUCCUGUACUUGGUGUUACUGCGAAGGGGGGACGGAGAAGGCUAGGCCAGCUUGGCGUUGGUUGUCCAAGUUUAAGGUGGUAGGCUGAGAUCUUAGGUAAAUCCGGGAUCUUAAGGCCGAGAGCUGAUGACGAGUUACCUUUUAGGUAACGAAGUGGUUGAUGCCAUGCUUCCAAGAAAAGCUUCUAAGCUUCAGGUAACCAGGAACCGUACCCCAAACCGACACAGGUGGUUGGGUAGAGAAUACCAAGGCGCUUGAGAGAACUCGGGUGAAGGAACUAGGCAAAAUGGCACCGUAACUU